UUAAGUGACUUGCCCACACAGUAUCUCAAGUUAUAUUUCACCUGAGAUUUUUUUGACUCCAGACCAGGUGUUCUAUCCACUAACUAUCCCAUUAACUGCCCCACUCCAGUAUAAAGAACUGUGCUCAAUAAAAGAAAUUUAAACUGAAAAUCAAGAUAAUCCCUGUCCUCAAGAAACUUUCAUUCUAAUAGCCAGAGAGGUGGUUUAAGUGACUAAUCAAGUACUGAGGAUUCAGAGACAAAGCAGAUGGUUACCUUUAAUGCCAUUUCCAUUAUUAGAACUAUACAGGCUUCUGAUGAAGAACUAUUUGACAGUACUAAGAAUUUUGGUGGUAAGUAAGAUAUUUUCCUUCACUGGGUCUCAUUUUCCUUAGUCAGGUGUCAGUCUGGAUAAUUUCUAAGAUCUGCUCCACCUUGAAGAUCCUUUGAUCUGAGAAAUUUGACUGUCUAUUCAGUAUGGCAUCAGGCCCAAUGGGCAGCAUCUCUCACUGGAAAGAUCUUGUAUCAUCUGGCAUGAGAUUUGAAAUUCCAUCACUAUAGAAUUACUUCUUUGUGUCUUAAAGACUUUUUGAUGAUGGGAGGUUCUCCCCUCAUUAGAAGUCUUUAAGGCAUGUUAUUGGAGCACUUCUUUUGGGUAUGUCUUGGACUGAAUGCCACUGAAGUUCCUUCCAAGUCUGAAGUUCUGUGACUCUGAUCUCCAGAGGUCUUUCAUGAAAAUGCAACAACCCCUUGAAAGGAAAACAAAGAGAAAAGAGGGCAGUCUAUUACCAUAAGGCUCUGGUUUCUAUUCAUGUUGAGAUUCAAAUUAGGCUUCCUGAAGGUCUGCAGUUAGUCUUCAAUGUCCCUUGUAGAGGCUUGGAGAGUGUUAAACACAUCUAUAUGAGAACUACCUGGACAUUAUAUUUAGUAGGCAAAAGCUCCUUAUAGACAAUGGUUCUUUAUGUUCCUGACCUAUCCAUGAACUUGUGGGAACAGCCCAAAUCAAAUUUAGAAUGGGGGCAGUUAUAUUAAGAAAGCUCAUUAUAUUCCAUUGUUGUCUAUCCUGGGUAAUGCACUGGUAUUAUGGACUUCUCUCAAGUUGUUAAUAAUGGUAAAAACCAAUACCAUGAAUGGAAAGAAUAAUGCAUACUGUUUUCAGAAAGGCCAUGCUGUAAGAACUUUGCCCUAGAGUGAAAUUUCAUGGCAGCUUUCUACCCAGGAUUCAUUGACCCAGAUGUAAGAAGAUGUCAUGAUUUUUUAAAAAAGUGUUUCUUAUUUUACUUUAUCCAAUUUUGACUUUUUAUUGGCAAGGGGAAAAGGGAGAAAAUUAUCUUUUCAUUGUGCUGCUUCAACAUAUAAAUGACAAAGUCAUAUACCUGACUCAUUUCUGCUUUUUCCAGGCAAGGUGAUGAUAUAUUUAUGAAUUUCUUCUAAAAUGAACAUUGACAAACUACAGUGUCACCUUUAGAAGAUAACAAGAAUGGCAAGAGGAUUCAAAACCAUGUCAAAUGAGAAACUACCUAGCCAUGUGGGAUAGUGACUUUCUCAGUCCUAAAAGCAUCAAAGCUCAGGUGCUUCCAAGACCAAUGAGCAGUUGUUCACCUAAUAGAGUGUGGCUGGAGUCAGGCUCCCUGAAGCCUGCGAAUCUAUGGAGACUCUUGGUCUGCUGUCAUGGACAGUGCACAGAGAAUGCAGACCAUUAGUUUAGGAUGUGGAAGAACAACCUGCAUGCUCCAGCCAUGGAAUAUGGAAUAGGGAAUGGGCAGAAGCUUCACUCUUCUUCAUCUUUGGGAGAAUGGAAACAAUGACUGAAGGAAAAGAAGAACUUAACUGAGAAUCACAUAUCUUCCAGUGGAGAAGGACUUAAACAUAUACAAAGAGUAAAAACUGGUGAUGGCAGAAGAAAAAUUCGGAGAGAGAGGCAGCUCUGGACACUGAACUCUGAGCUAGAGCUAAAAUUGCACAGUGACCAUAGCCACUCAACCAUUUUCCUGAGGGUGAAAGGAAUUUUCUCUUGAGAGAAUGGGGGGAAAUGCACUGUUAAAAGGUAAAGUCCAUGCUUGGGUUCUCACCCUGAUUAAAGAGGCCAGACUCAGAAAGAGGAGUUUAUUUACAUCCCAAGUAGGCUUGCCACUGGGCUGUUUGGGAUUCUAAUGGAGCCCUGCUUGUACAGAGGGACAAACCUCCAAACAAGGACAAAGGUAUUUUGUUAGGAUCCCGCAAUCAUGAGGGAUGGAACUGAUGCCACUUCAGUUCCUUCCUAAUUAUUUUGAUUGGCCCACAUUCCAAAUAAGAAGAUGGGGUUAGUGAGCAUGUGUGGCAGCUGUUGACAUGUACUCAUUAUAAGGAGAUGGGAUUAUUGCCAAAGAGAAAGGAUUAGUGCAUGUGAGACUACCCUUCCCUGCCAGCUGGCUUCACAUAGCCAAGGUCAAGCAAGGUUAAACUAUGUGGUCCUUUCAAAAUAAAUCUGUAUUAAGGACUGGUUUUUACAAAAUAAUCCCCUUUGGUGCUAACCAUACUCAUGGUACAACGGCAGAAUUGGAUCUAUAUCACUCCUCUAUUCUCAAGUGCAUCAUCCUCAUCUCUGCUGCUUGUGCAGAAUCAAUUUGAUAAACAUUGAUGGCUAUGAACUAGGGAAUUUAAAUUUGCAGCACUAAACAAGUUUACUAUGGCCAUGAGUAUUGCAAAAAUAACAUUUCCAUAUUUCCUUCAAUAUCAUAAAAAAAAAGUUGAACAAACUUAGUUGAGUUAAAAUCUAAUAGGAUCCCUUAAGGAGACAAAUCUUAUUAAAGAGGUUUUAUAGGCAAAUGAAGUCAGGUUACAGAUUAAACGGCUUAGAGGGUCUCACUAUGUAUUAAUAUGAGAGAGAUCUAUAUAUCGCUAAAGUCACCAAGAAAAUUCAGUAAACAUUAAACACCAUGAAACAGAAAGAAAGCCAAAGUAAUACAAUAAAUACCUAGUUUCCUUAUAACCUGGUAACCCAUUUUCAAUGUUCAUUUAAUCAGCACAUUUUAUCUUGAGUCCCAGAUAACUCAUGUAGUCAUUUGGUCCUUAGAAACAGCUUCUUUUGGACAUUUUGUUAUAGGUCUCAUUCUCAGGGCAGUUCUGAUGGGGGCUCCUCCUUGUAGAUUUGGCUUCUUUGGCCAAAAGUCACUUGCAGGGAUUCCUAGAUAAUUUUGCCAAAAUAUUCCAGUAACAAGAUACUCUCUUUGAGCAACAUAUGACAUUCCUCUUCAAUGGUGGACUAUUGGCUUCAUGACAAUUAAGACAAUUAUAUCUAAAAAUCAAAAGUUAGAGCAAUGAAAAUUGUGGACCCAAGAGAUUUCACUUCAGAUAGCAAAAUUUCACUAAUCAUAGGUUAGGAUUAGAUUAUUUUUAUUUUUCUCAUGUUUCAAUAACAGUUCAAAUGAGCACAUAAGGACAUUUUAUUUAUCCUUUUAUGUAUAAAUUAGGAAUAACCACAUUAUGGAAUUUUACAACAAAGUAAAUACAGGAUAGUUGAGUCAAAACCUAGAAAAAUUUUGGUCACUGUAAGCUUCUGAUGUGUUUCUAUUAAUCUCUAAGGCAAAGGUGAAAUCUUUGACUCUUAAGUUCUAUUGGUUCAAAAAUGUAACUUUAAUACAUACUAUAUAUCAACUGAUACAAUUUUAUAAUUUUCAUAAAGUGAUAGUCAAAUAAUUUCAGAUGAAAUUCACUCUUCACUAUAAGCAAAUUUGUAAGUUUCCCACUUUGGUUGAAAGUGGUCUGAGUUUUUCAAAUUUUAGCUCUUGAGAAUUUUUCAACAAGCUGACUAGUGUGGCUGAUAAGAUCUUGUGAUUUUGCCCAACUAGAAAGUGCCAAGGACCAAGAAGGAUAAUUUAAGAGGGCUAUGUUGAGAAUUCUGGGAAGAUGGUGGAGUAGGUUGGUGAAUUUCAAGCUCUCCUGAUUUCUCCCACAAAUGGAACAAAUUUGCGCCUCAGGGCAAACAUUGAUGUGAAAAAUCAAGAAGAUUUGGGGUAGAACUGGUGUCCUCCAGGCACAACCCAAGAAGAUCUGGCAAAAGAUCACAAACUGGGGAUUAAUCUCUAUAAAGUGCAAAAAUCUCUGGGCUAGGUCCUCAGAAACACCAACGGGGGACCUCUCCAGCUAGCUAAGUGUGGCUGGAACCUCAGCAGGAACCAUAGAGACUUUUACAAAGCUCCCAGACUGUCAAGUGGGGGUUUGAGUCCAGAAAAACUGAGUCAACCUCUGCUGAUUGGGAAUAACAGGCUCAACUGUGCUGCUGAGAUGGUCCUGUGCAAGAAGGAACCAGAGCCUAGGGAGUGCAGAAGCAGCGGGCAGAGAAGCUGCUGGCUGUGGGCACCUGCAGGAGGGUGGAACUCUUGGUUUGGGGUCCCUGGUCAGAGAGGAGAGGCACCAUCCCUCUCCCCCCACAAUUAGAAGUGCUUACACUAAUACCAUUUAUUAAAAAAAGAUGAACUA
Long non-coding RNA from Sarcophilus harrisii (Tasmanian devil), 4439 nucleotides. RefSeq lists it as uncharacterized. The record is from RefSeq and is a predicted model, not a curated record. The transcript has 5 exons. NCBI's taxonomy places the organism in Eukaryota, Metazoa, Chordata, Mammalia, Dasyuromorphia, Dasyuridae.